Molecule: ribosomal RNA, 492 nt
Filed under: uncultured bacterium
Lineage: Bacteria
Description: partial 16S ribosomal RNA
Rfam family: Bacterial small subunit ribosomal RNA
Source: RNAcentral
GAUGAACGCUAGCUACAGGCUUAACACAUGCAAGUCGAGGGGAAACGGCAUCGUAAGCUUGCUUUUGAUGGGCGUCGACCGGCGCAAGGGUGAGUAACGCGUAUCCAACCUGCCCAUCACUUGGGAAUAACUUUGCGAAAGUAAGACUAAUGCCCAAUGACAUCGCACGAAGGCAUCCGAAUGGUCUUUAAGGUAUAUCGGUGCUGCAUGGGGAUGCGUCUGAUUAGCUUGUUGGCGGGGAGACGGCCCACCAAGGCCACGAUCAGUAGGGGUUCUGAGAGGAAGGGCCCCCGCGUGGGAACGGAGACACUGGCCAAACUCCUACGGGAAGCAGCAGUGAGGAGGAUGCGGCAAUGAGCGAGAGACUGAGCCAGCCAAGUAGCGUGCAGGAUGACGGCCCUAUGAGUUGUGAACUGCGUUUAUAAGGGAAUAAAGUGGGGGACGUGUGACUUUGUGCAGGUACCUUAUGAAGAAGGACCGGCUAAUUCCGUG